This 253-nucleotide ribosomal RNA is filed under the name uncultured bacterium. RNAcentral's name for it is "partial 16S ribosomal RNA". It matches the Rfam family "Bacterial small subunit ribosomal RNA", at positions 524 to 776 of the family's 1533-position model. The record is from RNAcentral.
UACAGAGGUCUUAAGCGUUGUUCGGAUUCAUUGGGCGUAAAGGGUGUGUAGGUGGCGCGCUAAGUCGGGUGUGAAAUUUCGGAGCUUAACUCCGAAACUGCAUUCGAUACUGGCGUGCUUGAGGACUGGAGAGGAGACUGGAAUUCAUGGUGUAGCAGUGAAAUGCGUAGAGAUCAUGAGGAAGACCAGUGGCGAAGGCGGGUCUCUGGACAGUUCCUGACACUGAGACACGAAGGCCAGGGGAGCAAACGGG